This 866-nucleotide long non-coding RNA is filed under the name Cricetulus griseus (Chinese hamster). RNAcentral describes it as "lncRNA (ENSCGRG00015041093.1)". Lineage: Eukaryota; Metazoa; Chordata; Mammalia; Rodentia; Cricetidae. The record is from RNAcentral.
CACGGGACAGGGCCCUGGGCGGCCACCGUAGCACGGGACGCGGAUACCUCCGCAGGCCGUAAUCCUGCAGGCGUCUUGUCCCGGGCCCUAAACGCCCGGGCUGCAAGCACAGAGCCCAGAGUCGUGCAUCUGUGAGCGGCAGCCCCGUGUUUAGGUUUACAGCUGUCCCUCUGGCUGUAACUACUGUAUUUAAGCUACCAGCUGCCACGCACCGUGAGCGUCUGGGCCUCGGGACUACAAGAUCCAGCAUGCACAGAGCUCUGGGUCCUUAUGACAAAACCUUCUUGGCUAAAAAUACUGUCUGUCUAUACCAAGACAAACUGUGGUUAGGGGUGCGGAUUACAUCCUGGUGGAGCUUCUAGGGACGUGUGCAAUCAGUUUACACAUUCGGGUUCUUGUCAGGGAAUGAAAUACAGGACCUGCCUUUUAAGAAAUGUGGAGAGAGAUACUAAAUAAUGACAAAAUCUACGUGGAGUUAUUGGAGCGAUUUAUUCACCAUUCACUGGGACAGUCAAUCAGUGGAGAGGAAUGGUUUUGAUUAUUGAGAGGAUGUUUACCCUUUCAAAUCUACAAGGCUGAAGAUCAGAAUACAGAUCAAGUUCCAAGAUAGCCAAGGCUGCACAGGAAAGCCCCAACACCAAAGGGUUCCAGGUGGCUCCAUGUGUAAGCUGUCCAUGCUUUUUCUGGACGAGCUGAUGGGGUUCCUUCCAGACCAGAAACAGAGUACUUUCUUCCCAUGGUAUUCUCUAUAGUACUGCUGAAUGUCAUGGAGUUGGAUGCCCCUGAAGCACCUUUAAGACCCUAGCCACUUAGAUAACCUAGAAUGGACCAAAAGGUCUUCUCUUCUGAGUGUGGGGACCCAGAAG